CGCGGCCUAUCAGCUUGUUGGUGGGGUAACGGCCUACCAAGGCGAUUACGGGUAGCCGGCCUGAGAGGGCGACCGGCCACACUGGGACUGAGACACGGCCCAGACUCCUGCGGGAGGCAGCAGUGGGGAAUAUUGCGCAAUGGGCGAAAGCCUGACGCAGCGACGCCGCGUGGGGGAUGACGGCCUUCGGGUUGUAAACCUCUUUUACCACCAACGCAGGCUCGAAGUUCUCUUCGGGUUGACGGUAGGUGGGGAAUAAGGACCGGCUAACUACGUGCCAGCAGCCGCGGUAAUACGUAGGGUCCGAGCGUUGUCCGGAAUUAUUGGGCGUAAAGAGCUCGUAGGCGGCGUGUCGCGUCUGCUGUGAAAGACCGGGGCUUAACUCCGGUUCUGCAGUGGAUACGGGCAUGCUAGAGGUAGGUAGGGGAGACUGGAAUUCCUGGUGUAGCGGUGAAAUGCGCAGAUAUCAGGAGGAACACCGGUGGCGAAGGCGGGUCUCUGGGCCUUACCUGACGCUGAGGAGCGAAAGCAUGGGGAGCGAACAGGAUUAGAUACCCUGGUAGUCCAUGCCGUAAACGUUGGGCGCUAGGUGUGGGGACUUUCCACGGUUUCCGCGCCGUAGCUAACGCAUUAAGCGCCCCGCCUGGGGAGUACGG
Molecule: ribosomal RNA, 656 nt
Filed under: Nocardiopsis synnemataformans
Lineage: Bacteria; Bacillati; Actinomycetota; Actinomycetes; Streptosporangiales; Nocardiopsidaceae
Description: bacterial SSU rRNA
Rfam family: Bacterial small subunit ribosomal RNA
Source: RNAcentral